This 301-nucleotide ribosomal RNA is filed under the name uncultured bacterium. Its description in RNAcentral is "partial 16S ribosomal RNA". It matches the Rfam family "Bacterial small subunit ribosomal RNA", at positions 509 to 809 of the family's 1533-position model. The record is from RNAcentral.
CAGCCGCCGCGGUAAUACGGAGGGUGCAAGCGUUAAUCGGAAUUACUGGGCGUAAAGCGUGCGUAGGCGGUUCGUUAAGUCUGUUGUGAAAGCCCCGGGCUCAACCUGGGAAUGGCAAUGGAUACUGGCGAGCUAGAGUGUGUCAGAGGAUGGUGGAAUUCCCGGUGUAGCGGUGAAAUGCGUAGAGAUCGGGAGGAACAUCAGUGGCGAAGGCGGCCAUCUGGGACAACACUGACGCUGAGGCACGAAAGCGUGGGGAGCAAACAGGAUUAGAUACCCCCGUAGUCCCUGUCUCUUAUAA